UGUCUGUGGAAAGGGGGAGAUGAGGAGGCAGAAAAAGAGAGAAAACGGAACGUACGAUUUGAGAGAGGACUGGCGCUAAGCAGCAAGACGAGAGGGAGAAAAGCGAAGAGGGAAAGACAGGGAGAGAGAAGGAACGGGUGAUGGCCGAAUGGGAAUCAGUUGAAAUCGCGGGAAAAGAAAAAAGGAAAAAAAAAAUGACUAGACUCAUCCGACCUAUGCUGUGAUGCAGCGCUCACCCUGAGUGCUCCUGGACGUGCUCUGAAGGACUCCAUGGCCCCUUCGCGGGAAGACGAACCAACUCUAGCCGGCGGGAGACAGGCCGGCCGUCAGUUUGAGUUCCAAGGAGGUGGCUGUCGGACAUUUUGAGAAUGUUUCGCCGUUAAUCGCCAAGAUGGAUUCAUGAAAAGGUUUCUCACACACAGCCACUCCCAGCUCCUCUCCCCUUUCCGCUUCUCUUCACCUUACA
This is a long non-coding RNA of Megalops cyprinoides (Indo-Pacific tarpon), 466 nucleotides long. RefSeq lists it as uncharacterized. The record is from RefSeq and is a predicted model, not a curated record. The transcript has 3 exons. NCBI's taxonomy places the organism in Eukaryota, Metazoa, Chordata, Actinopteri, Elopiformes, Megalopidae.